Molecule: ribosomal RNA, 505 nt
Filed under: uncultured bacterium
Lineage: Bacteria
Description: partial 16S ribosomal RNA
Rfam family: Bacterial small subunit ribosomal RNA
Source: RNAcentral
GACGAACGCUGGCGGCGUGCCUAAUACAUGCAAGUAGAACGCACAGUUUAUACCGUAGCUUGCUACACCAUAGACUGUGAGUUGCGAACGGGUGAGUAACGCGUAGGUAACCUGCCUGGUAGCGGGGGAUAACUAUUGGAAACGAUAGCUAAUACCGCAUAAUAUUAAUUAUUGCAUGAUAAUUAAUUGAAAGGUGCAAUUGCACCACUACCAGAUGGACCUGCGUUGUAUUAGCUAGUAGGUGAGGUAACGGCUCACCUAGGCGACGAUACAUAGCCGACCUGAGAAGGUGAUCGGCCACACUGGGACUGAGACACGGCCCAGACUCCUACGGGAGGCAGCAGAAGGGAAUCUUCGGCAAUGGACGAAAGUCUGACCGAGCAACGCCGCGUGAGUGAAGAAGGGUUUCGGGUCGUAAAGCUCUGUUGUAAGGGAAGAACGGGUGUGAGAGUGGAAAGUUCACACUGUGACGGUAUCUUACCAGAAAGGGACGGCUAACUACGUG